UACGAAGGGGGCUAGCGUUACUCGGAUUGACUGGGCGUAAAGGGCGCGUAGGCGGCUUGUACAGUCAGACGUGAAAUUCCUGGGCUCAACCUGGGGGCUGCGUUUGAUACGUGCGGGCUUGAGUUCGGAAGAGGGUCGUGGAAUUCCCAGUGUAGAGGUGAAAUUCGUAGAUAUUCGCAAGAACACCAGUGGCGAAGGCGGCUCACUGGCCCGGUACUGACGCUGAGGCACGAAAGCGUGGGGAGCAAACAGG
This 253-nucleotide ribosomal RNA is filed under the name uncultured bacterium. Its description in RNAcentral is "partial 16S ribosomal RNA". It matches the Rfam family "Bacterial small subunit ribosomal RNA", at positions 524 to 776 of the family's 1533-position model. The record is from RNAcentral.